Molecule: ribosomal RNA, 253 nt
Filed under: uncultured bacterium
Lineage: Bacteria
Description: partial 16S ribosomal RNA
Rfam family: Bacterial small subunit ribosomal RNA
Source: RNAcentral
UACAGAGGGUGCAAGCGUUAAUCGGAAUUACUGGGCGUAAAGCGUGCGUAGGUGGAUAUUUAAGUUGGAUGUGAAAGCCCCGGGCUCAACCUGGGAUUGUCAUUCAAAACUGGAUGUCUAGAGUACAGUAGAGGAAAGUGGAAUUUCAGGUGUAGCGGUGAAAUGCGUAGAUAUCUGAAGGAACAUCAGUGGCGAAGGCGACUUUCUGGGCUGAUACUGACACUGAGGUACGAAAGCGUGGGGAGCGAACAGG